UACGUAGGGGGCAAGCGUUGUCCAGAUUUAUUGGGCGUAAAGAGCGUGUAGGCGGCCAUACAGGUCAGCUGUGAAAACUCGAGGCUCAACCUCGAGACGUCGGUUGAAACCGUUUGGCUAGAGUCCGGAAGAGGAGAGUGGAAUUCCCGGUGUAGCGGUGAAAUGCGCAGAUAUCGGAAAGAACACCCGUGGCGAAGGCGGCACUCUGGGACGGUACUGACGCUGAGACGCGAAAGCGUGGGGAGCGAACAGG
This 253-nucleotide ribosomal RNA is filed under the name uncultured bacterium. Its description in RNAcentral is "partial 16S ribosomal RNA". It matches the Rfam family "Bacterial small subunit ribosomal RNA", at positions 524 to 776 of the family's 1533-position model. The record is from RNAcentral.